GCCCAAAUUCGCACGUGCCCGUGGUCGUUCAUGAGGUUCAUCAGAAACCUCUUAAGGGGCCGCUGCCAAGAAACACCGCCAAGGGGCGGGGCAGCAAAGUCCGGACGGCUUAAAGCAACGACGUAAGAGGGCCCUU
This 136-nucleotide small RNA is filed under the name Roseibium sp. TrichSKD4. Its description in RNAcentral is "Alphaproteobacterial sRNA ar45". It matches the Rfam family "Alphaproteobacterial sRNA ar45". The record is from Rfam by way of RNAcentral. Lineage: Bacteria; Pseudomonadati; Pseudomonadota; Alphaproteobacteria; Hyphomicrobiales; Stappiaceae.